Molecule: long non-coding RNA, 2884 nt
Organism: Lolium perenne
Lineage: Eukaryota; Viridiplantae; Streptophyta; Magnoliopsida; Poales; Poaceae
Source: RefSeq, a predicted model, not a curated record
GGCACCAGCCUGACUCUUCUGGAAAUGUCUAUUCAGUUAGCCAUCGCCGGCGUCCUCACGCGCCGCCGCCGUUGCCGCGGCCGCUGCCGAAGAUGCCGGCGAGGGUGGUCGACACCCGCACCUCUUCCUCACAGUCCUCCUCAGCCCAAGAUGCAAAUGCCGUAUGGACGUGGCUCGUUUGCGGGAGAUAGAAGGGCACAUAGCUUAAGGAAGAGCUGCAUACCACGGUGUAUGAAGCCAUCAUAGCAGAGCAUGCGAGAUAGAAGCACAGCGAUCAGGAGUUUAAUAGGGGCAGAGCUGAAAGAAAUCUUUUUAUCUUGGUGUCAGCAUCGAGUAGACAAUUACAAUCCUGUGGCAUAUGGAUCAGGGCUAGUCGGCUUGAUCCUGGGAUGAUGCAGGUACACGCUGGAGGUUCGGACCCAGGUCUACCUUAAAUACAAACUAUGUGGUAAACACCAAUUAUGCAGCAAUUUAUUCAGGAACAAGAGCUAUGUCACCGGCAGCAGGGGGAGGUGAAGUAGAUAUGUGUGUGUUGGUUUGGAGUGUUUGAGGUUCACCUUCACAGCUGUGGCCUCAACUUAUAGGCGCGUUGGCGUACGAGAUUACUGGAGGACGGAGACUCGCUGCUGCUGUUGGGUCUCUCAGUACACUGUACACUCUCAGAUAAUGCACUAGAUCGUUCAUGGCCGGAAGAAGUCUGCUGGGUCAUGGUCGUCGUUUGCUGCGCAAGUGGUACAACACAGUGCAUUACUUUCUGUCUCGUCAGUUACCACUACACGUAGCUUUCGAAGCUCUACAGAAUAGUAACAUGCUCUGUUUUCACAUGCAUGGUCAUCAAAUACGGCAAAAAAAAAAAAGCAGAAGAAAUCACAAAUAUGUGGUCUCCAGCUUUUUUUUUUUAUAAAGGGAAUAUAUUAAUAUCAAGAAGAUACCAAUUACACCCAGCCUCUGCAACAACGCACCACCCUAAUGGCACUACGGAUGCACACAGCCAAAAAAGGAAAAGAAAACUAAGAAACAAAAGUCCCGCUACAGUAUCUCGGGCCUAACAACAGCAAUACAUCCACCACCAUGACAACACCGCAGACUCUCCAAAAAACGACGCCUUCAAGAAGGAAACAGUGCUCAAACACCGUCGUCAUCCGAUCAAAGAUCUUAGGUUUUCACCUUGAAGAUAGUCCCCGCUCUCAAAACAAUGCCUCCACCAAGGUCACUGUCAGGCACAACCAGUUAAGGCCAGACCUUGGGUUUUCACCCUCAAAGGUAGGACUCUGCGCUUCACCUGUGUUGCCGCCCCCACUUCCAAACCGCUGCUGUGAAGCCGGGACACCAAGCAAGCCCCUCAACAGCGCGGAGACUUGAAACUCCCUUAGCUAGUCCUCCCCUCCGGCCUUUAAGAAAUUCUCUUCUUCCGACUUUCAUCAUGGAUCCAUAGUUACUUGAUGUCAACACAGAAAAAGAGCUUCGCGCCGCUCCCUCCAGAACCAAACGGUCGGAAUAAACGCAUGGGUGCGCACGACCGAAUACCUCCGAUCCAGCAAACUCCAGGCAAAGCGCUGUUACAUUCGCCGGCGGAGCCUUCCGGAACUCAACCCUCCGGCCAGAUCACGAGUCCAGGCCUCCGGUAGGUCCUCCUCUUCACGCAAGAGAAGCCCUAGGACCGCCGCCUUUAUUCAGGUCGGACCCCCACGUCGGCAACCAUCCCGGGCUGGCCAACCCAACCCUCCACCGGCGAUACCAUCGCCGGCUUCCAAGCACCUCCAUCGCACCUGACGCCCGCCACCUGCCACCAGGUCGACGCCGUCACCGCCAUCCAGGGCCGCCGCCCUUUGUGCCGUGAUUCAGACCUUGAGGAGGAGCAGCACGAGAUCCGCCCCCAUCACCACCCGCCCGGCGAUGCCGAGGCGAGGAAGGAAGGAGAGGAUCGCGCCGCCAGGAUCCAGGGCCGCGCCGCCGCCCCCAAACCGCCUGCCCGGUGAGUCCGCGGCGAGGAACGGAGGAGAGAGCCGACGAUGAUGGCUACGCGUGAUUCUACAGUGAUAGAGUUUGGAAUUGGAGCGCGACGGCCGGCACCGGAGAAAUUCCUCUCGCUCGGAGCGAUGUCGCUGGCCGGUGGUAUGCAUGUAGAGGGAGAGAGACAGCGCGCGCUUCGAGCGGGAUGAUCCGGUCGUGUGUUUCCACUUGGACGGACAAGGGGACAGUAGGUGAAGCUUGUGUAGACAUGGCCCGUCAUGGCUCUGUGGCCGUCGUUGCGCCGAGCUGAAGAAGUUGGUCGUGGCAACUGCUGGUCUUGUGCGGCUGAAGAGAAAGGUUGCCUUCGUGCCGUGCUGGAGCUUGUCGUGGAGCUGCUGCCGACCUGCGUUGUGGUCUUCAUGGACGCAGGCCACUAGGUCAGGCAAAUUUGAGGCACCAUGUCGAUCUAGUUGUGAUGUAGUAUUUGUAUGAUCUAGCACAGUGGCCCUCGCAUAUGUAAGGGCGUCGUCUUUAGUUGUUUUUUGUUUGAAUAAAUAUAUGCUUACCAACGCAGUUUAAUAAAGUAUUUUGACCUAUCAGGUAUGUCUUCCUCUCAUUUUCUCACUUAAUUUCGAAACACAUGAUGUUUUAAACAUGACACUCCAAGAAAUAAAUUAGAGCCAUUAUUUGGAUAAGAUGUUAGCAAAUAUUAUUUUCAGAUAAUGAUGGAAUGUUUAUCAAGGAAAUCCUAACCAUAACUUAUUUUAUAUGGCCAAUCUUCUAUAAUUAUAUAUUGUUUGCCGAAGUAAAUAAAUCAUGCUUACCAACACGGUUUAAUAAAAUAUUUUUACCUACCAGCUAUGUCUUCCGCUCCUUUUCUCACAUAAUUCCGAAACACAUGAUGCUUUGGACAUGAGAUUCCGAGAUAUAA